This 253-nucleotide ribosomal RNA is filed under the name uncultured bacterium. RNAcentral's name for it is "partial 16S ribosomal RNA". It matches the Rfam family "Bacterial small subunit ribosomal RNA", at positions 524 to 776 of the family's 1533-position model. The record is from RNAcentral.
UACGUAGGGCGCAAGCGUUAUCCGGAAUUAUUGGGCGUAAAGAGCUCGUAGGCGGUUUGUCGCGUCUGCCGUGAAAGUCCGGGGCUCAACUCCGGAUCUGCGGUGGGUACGGGCAGACUAGAGUGAUGUAGGGGAGACUGGAAUUCCUGGUGUAGCGGUGAAAUGCGCAGAUAUCAGGAGGAACACCGGUGGCGAAGGCGACAUCCUGGACCGAUAUUGACGCUGAGGCGCGAAAGCCAGGGGAGCAAACGGG